Molecule: ribosomal RNA, 460 nt
Filed under: uncultured bacterium
Lineage: Bacteria
Description: partial 16S ribosomal RNA
Rfam family: Bacterial small subunit ribosomal RNA
Source: RNAcentral
CCUACGGGUGGCAGCAGUGCGGAAUAUUGGUCAAUGGGCUUACGCCUGAACCAGCCAAGUCGCGUGAGGGAAGACUGCCCUAUGGGUUGUAAACCUCUUUUGUCAGGGAGCAACGCCGGCUACGUGUAGCCGGACUGCUAGUACCUGAAGAAAAAGCAUCGGCUAACUCCGUUACAGCAGCCGCGGUAAUACGGAGGAUGCGAGCGUUAUCCGGAUUUAUUGGGUUGAAAGGGUGCGUAGGCGGAAUGCCAAGUCAGCGGUAAAAUGGGGGGGCUCAACCUCGCUCCGCCGUUGAAACUGGCGUGCUUGAGUGGGCGAGAAGUAGGCGGAAUGCGUGGGGUAGCGGUGAAAUGCAUAGAUAUCACGAAGAACUCCGAUUGCGAAGGCAGCAUACCGGCGCCCAACUGACGCUGAGGCACGAAAGCGUGGGUAUCGAACAGGAUUAGAUACCCCAGUAGUC